RNAcentral lists this ribosomal RNA (1485 nucleotides) under uncultured rumen bacterium. RNAcentral's name for it is "bacterial SSU rRNA". It matches the Rfam family "Bacterial small subunit ribosomal RNA". The record is from RNAcentral.
AGAGUUUGAUCCUGGCUCAGAACGAACGCUAGCGGCAGGCUUAACACAUGCAAGUCGUGGGGCAGCGCGCUGCAGCAAUGCGGUGGCGGCGACCGGCGGAAGGGUGCGUAACACGUGAGCAACCUGCCCGUGACAGGGGGAUAACCGAUGGAAACGUCGCCUAACACCCCGUAACACAGAGUUCCGCAUGGUUCUCUGUUGAAAACUCCGGUGGUCACGGAUGGGCUCGCGCAGCAUUAGCUAGUUGGCGGGGCGACGGCCCACCAAGGCGACGAUGCUUAGGGGUUCUGAGAGGAAGAUCCCCCACACUGGGACUGAGACACGGCCCAGACUCCUACGGGAGGCAGCAGUGAGGAAUAUUGGUCAAUGGGCGCCAGCCUGAACCAGCCAUGCCGCGUGACGGACUAAGGCCCUACGGGUCGUAAACUUCUUUUGCGCGGGAGCAAUAAGGGCCACGUGUGGCCCGACGAGAGUACCGCGCGAAUAAGCAUCGGCUAAUUCCGUGCCAGCAGCCGCGGUAAUACGGAAGAUGCGAGCGUUGUUCGGAUUUAUUGGGUUUAAAGGGUGCGUAGGCGGCUUGUCAAGUCGGCGGUGAAAUGCCCGUGCUCAACAUGGGAAGUGCCGUUGAUACUGGCUGGCUGGAGUUCCGUUGCCGUGGGAGGAAUGUGUGGUGUAGCGGUGAAAUGCUUAGAUAUCACACAGAACACCGAUUGCGAAGGCAUCUCACGAAGCGUGGGCUGACGCUGAGGCACGAAAGCGUGGGGAUCGAACAGGAUUAGAUACCCUGGUAGUCCACGCAGUAAACGAUGAUGGCUAACCGCCGGCGGCACACAGUCGGUGGCCAAGCGAAAGCGAUAAGCCAUCCACCUGGGGAGUACGACCGCAAGGUUGAAACUCAAAGGAAUUGACGGGGGCCCGCACAAGCGGAGGAACAUGUGGUUUAAUUCGAUGAUACGCGAGGAACCUUACCCGGGCUCGAACGGCGGCUGCCGGUCCCAGAGAUGGGCCUUCCCUUCGGGGCGUCCGCCGAGGUGCUGCAUGGUUGUCGUCAGCUCGUGCCGUGAGGUGUCGGCUCAAGUGCCAUAACGAGCGCAACCCUUGCCGCCAGUUGCCAUCGGUUCGGCCGGGGACUCUGGCGGGACUGCCACCGCAAGGUGAGAGGAGGGGGGGGAUGACGUCAAAUCAGCACGGCCCUUACGUCCGGGGCGACACACGUGUUACAAUGGCGGCUACAGAGGGGUGCCAUCCCGCGAGGGAGCGCUGAUCUCGAAAGGCCGUCUCAGUUCGGAUCGGAGUCUGCAACCCGACUCCGUGAAGCUGGAUUCGCUAGUAAUCGCGCAUCAGCCAUGGCGCGGUGAAUACGUUCCCGGGCCUUGUACACACCGCCCGUCAAGCCAUGAAAGCCGGGGGCGCCUGAAGUCCGUGACCGCGAGGAGCGGCCUAGGGCGAAACUGGUGAUUGGGGCUAAGUCGUAACAAGGUAACC